CUCUUUGAGGGUUGUUAUGGCUGAAAAUGAAAUCCUGUGGCCAGGGAGACUCCGAAUUUUGUUACACACGUCUCCAGAGAGCAGAAACACAAUCCAUUCCUUGAUUUGUACUAAAGCAUGUGUUGCAUUCUGGAACCCCUGGGAUGACUACUACUCCAAGUUAAAGAUUGCUUGACAUGUUACUUGAAGGAGUCCAUAGACAUAUUGCCUAAACAGGUCCAUUUGGAUGCCCUAAGAAUCAUUGAUCUUUGAAAUUUCUAAUCAUAAUCUACUUGCAAGUCAACACGAAAUGAUGUUUGUCCAAAAACUGGUGGUCAUUUAGAUGUAAAAGCAUAAUUGUUUGAAAAUGGGCUCAAAAUCCUUUGGAGCAUUCGGAGUUUGACUCUUGGCAAGACAAGAUUUCCUGUUUCUAAGAAAAAAGGCUCAAUGCAGCUUCUUGGACAUCAAAACAACAUUUGAUGAAUUAAUUGUAAAUGAAUCAGAAACAUAUGGAGUCAAUUUCCCCUGCAAUACACAUGUGUUUGAAAAAUUAAAGGGGGAAAAUGCUCCCGGCAAAAUGUG
This 561-nucleotide long non-coding RNA is filed under the name Sarcophilus harrisii (Tasmanian devil). RNAcentral describes it as "lncRNA (ENSSHAG00000026174.1)". The record is from RNAcentral. Lineage: Eukaryota; Metazoa; Chordata; Mammalia; Dasyuromorphia; Dasyuridae.